RNAcentral lists this unclassified non-coding RNA (360 nucleotides) under soil metagenome. RNAcentral's name for it is "partial contains 5.8S ribosomal RNA, internal transcribed spacer 2, and large subunit ribosomal RNA". The stretch from base 1 to 120 matches the Rfam family "5.8S ribosomal RNA", at positions 35 to 154 of the family's 154-position model. The record is from RNAcentral.
GAUGAAGAACGUAGCGAAAUGCGAUAAGUAAUGCGAAUUGCAGAAUUCAGUGAAUCAUCGAAUCUUUGAACGCACAUUGCGCCCGCCAGUAUUCUGGCGGGCAUGCCUGUCUGAGCGUCGUUUCGACCCUCGCGCCCGGCUUCUGUCGGGGGCGGUGUUGGGGAUCGGCCACACCCUUCAGUGGGAGGCCGGCCCCUAAAUUCAGUGGCGACCACGCUGUAGCCUCCCCUGCGUAGUACUAAAACCACCUCGCAGGCGGAGAGUGGUGCGGCCCGCCGUAAAACCCCCCAACUUUUACAAGGUCGACCUCAGAUCAGGUAGGAAUACCCGCUGAACUUAAGCAUAUCAAUAAGCGGAGGA